This 210-nucleotide long non-coding RNA is filed under the name Elaeis guineensis (African oil palm). RNAcentral's name for it is "long non-coding RNA (EGUI_LNC062691)". The record is from RNAcentral. Lineage: Eukaryota; Viridiplantae; Streptophyta; Magnoliopsida; Arecales; Arecaceae.
UUGGCUAUUUUUUAAUGAGUCUAUUGUGUAUGAUAAAAGGAGGUCUUUCCAAUUAAUUUUUAUACCUAAUUUUUUUGGUAAAUCUUUCUUUAAGUUAGAUAAGGGUGAAAAAAAGUUAGAGUCAAAUUAGAAUUCGAAAGAGCUUGAAUUGCAACAAACUCCACCCCUUAUCCUGUUUUAUCAGGUUUGUGUGACAACCAUAAUAAAGCC